Molecule: ribosomal RNA, 433 nt
Filed under: uncultured bacterium
Lineage: Bacteria
Description: partial 16S ribosomal RNA
Rfam family: Bacterial small subunit ribosomal RNA
Source: RNAcentral
AACGAACGCUGGCGGCAUGCCUAACACAUGCAAGUCGAACGAGACCUUCGGGUCUAGUGGCGCACGGGUGCGUAACGCGUGGGAACCUGCCCUUAGGUUCGGAAUAACUCCCCGAAAGGGGUGCUAAUACCGGAUAAUGUCUUCGGACCAAAGAUUUAUCGCCUUUGGAUGGGCCCGCGUUGGAUUAGCUAGUUGGUAGGGUAAAAGCCUACCAAGGCGACGAUCCAUAGCUGGUCUGAGAGGAUGAUCAGCCACACUGGGACUGAGACACGGCCCAGACUCGUACGGGAGGCAGCAGUGGGGAAUAUUGGACAAGGGGCGAAAGCCUGAUCCAGCAAUGCCGCGUGAGUGAUGAAGGCCUUAGGGUUGUAAAGCUCUUUUACCCGGGAUGAUAAUGACAGUACCGGGAGAAUAAGCUCCGGCUAACUCCGUG